CCUACGGGAGGCAGCAGUGGGGAAUAUUGGACAAUGGGCGAAAGCCUGAUCCAGCAAUGCCGCGUGAGUGAAGAAGGCCUUAGGGUUGUAAAGCUCUUUCACCGGGGAAGAUUAUGACGGUACCCGGAGAAGAAGCCCCGGCUAACUCCGUGCCAGCAGCCGCGGUAAUACGGAGGGGGCUAGCGUUGUUCGGAAUUACUGGGCGUAAAGCGCGCGUAGGCGGCCUGUCAAGUUGGGUGUGAAAGCCCGGGGCUCAACCCCGGAAUUGCAUUCAAAACUGACAAGCUAGAGACCGAGAGAGGUGAGUGGAAUUUCCAGUGUAGAGGUGAAAUUCGUAGAUAUUGGAAAGAACACCAGUGGCGAAGGCGGCUCACUGGCUCGGUACUGACGCUGAGGUGCGAAAGCGUGGGUAGCAAACAGGAUUAGAUACCCUGGUAGUCCACGCCGUAAACGAUGAGUGCUAGACGUCGGGAGGCAUGCCUUUCGGUGUCGCAGCUAACGCAUUAAGCACUCCGCCUGGGGAGUACGAUCGCAAGAUUAAAACUCAAAGGAAUUGACGGG
RNAcentral lists this ribosomal RNA (561 nucleotides) under uncultured Alphaproteobacteria bacterium. RNAcentral describes it as "bacterial SSU rRNA". It matches the Rfam family "Bacterial small subunit ribosomal RNA", at positions 338 to 917 of the family's 1533-position model. The record is from RNAcentral. Lineage: Bacteria; Pseudomonadati; Pseudomonadota; Alphaproteobacteria.